UUCCAGAAGAUCAGGCCCACGUUCUUCCACAGUGCCCGGGACAGCAAACAUUUUUUCAUCUCGACAAAGGGGGAAAAAAUAUAUAAUCCUUCAAAUGACCUGGCAAGGUUCCACCACAGAUUUAAUCUGACGCCUGUGACAAGCCAGGAAAUCCGCCGUGUCACGGAAUCUUCUCUGCCAUCUAGGUGUGCAGCUGAUAUGGUGAGGGCAAUUGCAAGGUAUAUGGGACACUCAGAAACCACCGCGCAGAGGCUCUACAGGAAAAAAAUAAACGAUCUCAUGAUGGAAUCUAGAAGGGUGAACAUCCUGGGAUCUGAGGAAGAACCUCAGGCAUCAACAUCAAGAGACGUUGAAGCAAUAAGAAGAAAAAAAAGGACAAGGGAUGAUAAUGAAGAUGAGGAUGAAUAUAGAGUCGGCAGAUAAGAACCACUUGGCCCAUCUAGUCUGCCCUUUUUUUUUAACCAUAUUUUUAUCUCAAAAUUUAUUUGAUCAUUAUAUCUUUGUAAGGAUAUCCUUAUGUCUAUCCCAUUCAUGUAUAUAUAUUGCCAUACUGUCUUAGCCUCUACCACCUCUGAUGGGAGGCUAUUCCACUUGUCCACUACCCCUUCUCAUUUUUCCUCAAAUUUCCCCUGAACCUAUUAACCAUUCAAAGAAGAAAUCUAACAUGAAGCCCUCAUGUGUCUCCUUUCUGAUAGGGCAACUCCUACAUUAUUACUGGGGGCCACAAAGGACAUCAGGACUAGGGAGGAACUUCUCUUUAAUUAUGGUGCUAAUAAGCCAUCUUUUGGGGGGGAAGGAGCAGAAUUGUCAUGGCUAGAUGAAUAGUUUGUGUGGAGUUUACUGGUAUAAAAAAAACAUUUAUUUAUUUUCUUCAAAAUUUAUAUUUUGUAAAAUGUAUCUAUAAACAGUUG
This is a long non-coding RNA of Pseudophryne corroboree (corroboree frog), 911 nucleotides long. RefSeq lists it as uncharacterized. Lineage: Eukaryota; Metazoa; Chordata; Amphibia; Anura; Myobatrachidae. The record is from RefSeq and is a predicted model, not a curated record. The transcript is spliced from 3 exons.